This 291-nucleotide unclassified non-coding RNA is filed under the name Sordariomycetes sp. RNAcentral's name for it is "partial contains 5.8S ribosomal RNA, internal transcribed spacer 2, and large subunit ribosomal RNA". The stretch from base 1 to 71 matches the Rfam family "5.8S ribosomal RNA", at positions 84 to 154 of the family's 154-position model. Lineage: Eukaryota; Fungi; Ascomycota; Sordariomycetes. The record is from RNAcentral.
GUGAGUCAUCGAAUCUUUGAACGCACGUUGCGCCCGCCAGCACUCUGGCGGGCAUGCCUGUUCGAGCGUCAUUUCAACCCUCAAGCCCUGCUUGGUGUUGGGGCGCCACGCGCCGAGCGUGGGCCCUGAAAAUCAGUGGCGGGACCCGCCGUGGGUUCGGGCGUAGUAGACCUCACCUCGCCCGCGACCCCCCGGCGCGUCUCCGGCCGUGAAACCCCCAAACCCUCACAAGGUUGACCUCGGAUCAGGUAGGAGUACCCGCUGAACUUAAGCAUAUCAAUAAGCGGAGGA